RNAcentral lists this ribosomal RNA (460 nucleotides) under uncultured bacterium. RNAcentral describes it as "partial 16S ribosomal RNA". It matches the Rfam family "Bacterial small subunit ribosomal RNA", at positions 338 to 795 of the family's 1533-position model. The record is from RNAcentral.
CCUACGGGAGGCAGCAGUGAGGAAUAUUGGUCAAUGGACGAGAGUCUGAACCAGCCAAGUAGCGUGAAGGAUGACUGCCCUAUGGGUUGUAAACUUCUUUUAUAUGGGAAUAAAAUGUUCCACGUGUGGGAUUUUGUAUGUACCAUAUGAAUAAGGAUCGGCUAACUCCGUGCCAGCAGCCGCGGUAAUACGGAGGAUCCGAGCGUUAUCAGGAUUGAUUGGGUUUAAAGGGAGCGUAGGUGGAUUGUUAAGUCAGUUGUGAAAGUUUGCGGCUCAACCGUAAAAUUGCAGUUGAAACUGGCAGUCUUGAGUACAGUAGAGGUGGGCGGAAUUCGUGGUGUAGCGGUGAAAUGCUUAGAUAUCACGAAGAACUCCGAUUGCGAAGGCAGCUCACUGGACUGCAACUGACACUGAGGCUCGAAAGUGUGGGUAUCAAACAGGAUUAGAUACCCGUGUAGUC